UUAAUUGAAGCCAAAAUUUGAGGCAUUUUAUUGUUAAUAAAAAAAUUGAUUAAAAUCCAAUUAAA
RNAcentral lists this transfer RNA (65 nucleotides) under Aphrophora sp. EMHAU-2015-Zz062722. RNAcentral describes it as "tRNA-Asn". The record is from RNAcentral. Lineage: Eukaryota; Metazoa; Arthropoda; Insecta; Hemiptera; Aphrophoridae.